RNAcentral lists this ribosomal RNA (507 nucleotides) under uncultured bacterium. RNAcentral's name for it is "partial 16S ribosomal RNA". It matches the Rfam family "Bacterial small subunit ribosomal RNA", at positions 28 to 507 of the family's 1533-position model. The record is from RNAcentral.
GACGAACGCUGGCGGCGUGCCUAAUACAUGCAAGUCGAACGCAUUUUCUUUCACCGUAGCUUGCUACACCGAAAGAAAAUGAGUGGCGAACGGGUGAGUAACACGUGGGUAACCUGCCCAUCAGCGGGGGAUAACACUUGGAAACAGGUGCUAAUACCGCAUAAUUCCAUUUACCGCAUGGUAGAUGGGUGAAAGGCGCUUUUGCGUCACUGAUGGAUGGACCCGCGGUGCAUUAGCUAGUUGGUGGGGUAACGGCCUACCGAGGCUGCGAUGCAUAGCCGACCUGAGAGGGUGAUCGGCCACACUGGGACUGAGACACGGCCCAGACUCCUACGGGAGGCAGCAGUAGGGAAUCUUCGGCAAUGGACGCAAGUCUGACCGAGCAACGCCGCGUGAGUGAAGAAGGUUUUCGGAUCGUAAAACUCUGUUGUUAGAGAAGAACAAGGAUGAGAGUGGAAAGUUCAUCCCUUGACGGUAUCUAACCAGAAAGCCACGGCUAACUACGUG